RNAcentral lists this ribosomal RNA (494 nucleotides) under uncultured bacterium. Its description in RNAcentral is "partial 16S ribosomal RNA". It matches the Rfam family "Bacterial small subunit ribosomal RNA", at positions 28 to 507 of the family's 1533-position model. The record is from RNAcentral.
GACGAACGCUGGCGGCGUGCUUAACACAUGCAAGUCGAACGGUGAAGCGCCUUCCUUUUUGGUGGGUGUGGAUGAGUGGCGAACGGGUGAGUAACACGUGAGUAACCUGCCCCCUUCUUCUGGAUAACCGCAUGAAAGUGUGGCUAAUGCGGGAUAUUCUGGGUCUGUCGCAUGAUGGGUCUGGGAAAGAUAUUGUUUCGGUGGGGGAUGGGCUCGCGGCCUAUCAGCUUGUUGGUGGGGUGAUGGCCUACCAAGGCGGUGACGGGUAGCCGGCCUGAGAGGGUGGACGGUCACACUGGGACUGAGACACGGCCCAGACUCCUACGGGAGGCAGCAGUGGGGAAUAUUGCACAAUGGGCGCAAGCCUGAUGCAGCGACGCCGCGUGAGGGAUGGAGGCCUUCGGGUUGUGAACCUCUUUCGCCAGUGAAGCAGGCCUGCCUCGUUUGUGGGUGGGUUGACGGUAGCUAGAUAAGAAGCGCCGGCUAACUACGUG